UACGUAGGUGGCGAACGUUGUCCGGAUUCACUGGGCGUAAAGCGCGCGCAGGCGGGUAGGUAAGUCUGAGGUGAAAGCUCCCGGCUCAACUGGGAGAAGCCCUUGGAUACUGCUUACCUUGAGACACUUAGAGGAGAGUGGAAUUCCCGGUGUAGUGGUGGAAUGCGUAGAUAUCGGGAGGAACACCAGUGGCGAAAGCGGCUCUCUGGGAGUGUUCUGACGCUGAGGCGCGAAAGCGUGGGGAGCAAACCGG
This 253-nucleotide unclassified non-coding RNA is filed under the name uncultured Chloroflexota bacterium. RNAcentral describes it as "uncultured Chloroflexi bacterium contains 16S-23S intergenic spacer region". It matches the Rfam family "Bacterial small subunit ribosomal RNA", at positions 524 to 776 of the family's 1533-position model. The record is from RNAcentral. Lineage: Bacteria; Bacillati; Chloroflexota.